Molecule: ribosomal RNA, 207 nt
Filed under: uncultured bacterium
Lineage: Bacteria
Description: partial 16S ribosomal RNA
Rfam family: Bacterial small subunit ribosomal RNA
Source: RNAcentral
CUCGUAGGCGGUCUGUCGCGUCUGCUGUGAAAACUGGAGGCUCAACCUCCAGCCUGCAGUGGGUACGGGCAGACUAGAGUGCGGUAGGGGAGAUUGGAAUUCCUGGUGUAGCGGUGGAAUGCGCAGAUAUCAGGAGGAACACCGAUGGCGAAGGCAGAUCUCUGGGCCGUAACUGACGCUGAGGAGCGAAAGCAUGGGGAGCGAACA